Molecule: ribosomal RNA, 207 nt
Filed under: uncultured bacterium
Lineage: Bacteria
Description: partial 16S ribosomal RNA
Rfam family: Bacterial small subunit ribosomal RNA
Source: RNAcentral
UACGGAGGGUGCAAGCGUUAUCCGGAUUCACUGGGUUAAAGGGUGCGUAGGUGGGCUGGUAAGUCAGUGGUGAAAUCUCCAGGCUUAACUUGGAAACUGCCAUUGAUACUAUCAGUCUUGAAUACCGUGGAGGUCAGCGGAAUAUGUCAUGUAGCGGUGAAAUGCUUAGAUAAUGACAUAGAACACCAAUUGCGAAAGGCAGCUGGC